ACAACAGGUGGAGCCUGCGGUUUAAUCGGACUCAACGCCGGGAAGCUCACCGGAUAAGACAGCGGAAUGAUAGCCGGGCUGAAGACUCUGCUUGACUAGCUGAGAGGAGGUGCAUGGCCGUCGUCAGUUCGUACUGUGGAGCAUCCUGUUAAGUCAGGCAACGAGCGAGACCCACGCCAACAGUUGCCAGCAUGUCCUCCGGGAUGGUGGGGACACUGUUGGGACCGCCUCUGCUAAAGAGGAGGAAGGAAUGGGCAACGGUAGGUCAGCAUGCCCCGAAUUAUCCGGGCUACACGCGGGCUACAAUGGUCAGGACAAUGGGCAUCAACACCGAAAGGUGAAGGCAAUCUCUUAAACCUGUCCUUAGUUCGGAUUGUGGGCUGCAACUCGCCCACAUGAAGCUGGAAUCUGUAGUAAUCGCGUCUCAAAAUGGCGCGGUGAAUAUGUCCCUGCUCCUU
RNAcentral lists this ribosomal RNA (458 nucleotides) under uncultured Methanolinea sp. RNAcentral's name for it is "bacterial SSU rRNA". It matches the Rfam family "Archaeal small subunit ribosomal RNA", at positions 881 to 1338 of the family's 1478-position model. Lineage: Archaea; Methanobacteriati; Methanobacteriota; Methanomicrobia; Methanomicrobiales; Methanoregulaceae. The record is from RNAcentral.